AUACUUACCUGGCAGGGGAGGUACCUUGAUCAUGAAGAAGGUUUAACCAGAGUGAGGCUCGGUCAUUGCACCCCGGCUGUUCUGACUUUGUGAAUUCCCCAAAUGUUGGAAUCUCGACUGCUUCAUUUUUGUUAGUGGUGGACACCGUACAUGCUCUUCCCUG
Small nuclear RNA from Cyprinodon variegatus (sheepshead minnow), 163 nucleotides. Its record names the gene U1. It matches the Rfam family "U1 spliceosomal RNA". Rfam says of the family: U1 is a small nuclear RNA (snRNA) component of the spliceosome (involved in pre-mRNA splicing). Its 5' end forms complementary base pairs with the 5' splice junction, thus defining the 5' donor site of an intron. Lineage: Eukaryota; Metazoa; Chordata; Actinopteri; Cyprinodontiformes; Cyprinodontidae. The record is from Ensembl.